This is a long non-coding RNA of Talpa occidentalis (Iberian mole), 1109 nucleotides long. RefSeq lists it as uncharacterized. Lineage: Eukaryota; Metazoa; Chordata; Mammalia; Eulipotyphla; Talpidae. The transcript has 5 exons. The record is from RefSeq and is a predicted model, not a curated record.
UGAAUGUGCUUCUGUCCAUCAUCUGGGUCAUAUAUAGUUCAAUGCGAGCUGAGCAGACAGGGCUGCAAGGAAAUCUGGCGCGGUUCAAUACCUUGUCUAGCCUGGGUUCCAGUAUCUAAUUUUUUGACUGACAAACUCAUUUCUCUACCGGGACAGGAUGCUGUGCUGGCUGGAAGUUCCAUUUCUACAGCAAGAAUCCUAUCUGGAAACACAGAAGUUGUCCUCUAGCCACAGCAGCUUGAACUUUUUUGAUUGUUGUUGCUGCUUUUUCCCAUCACCCCCACCCCUUUUUGACAAAGAUCCAACUGUAAAAAGUCUUACGUAACAGUUCAGGACUACUUCGGUUCUUUUACUGGUGUAUCAAGAGGCCACAGAAGAUAAUGAAAAUAUUUACAUCUCCAAGUUGGAGCAAUGUGGGUUUCAGUAUUUCCUAGUACAUCUGGAAAAGCAAAGCAAAGAGAUUUUGGCUAUUGUAAAUAAUGCUGCUAUGAACAGUCAAUGCAAGUCUUUGUGUGGACAAGUUAUAUUUUGGGUAGAUACCUGCAGAGUGGAAUUAUUGCACCAUAUGGAAACAACCUGGCUGAAAAACAGUGGAUUAAUCGUGAACCUGAGUCACAGAAGAAAUCUCUUUGGCGACUUAUUACACAUGAGAAGUAUUUAUCCCUCAAGAUCCAGUUUAAAUAUCACCACCAGUGUGAAGUGUGAAGCAUAGAAAAGGAGAGCAUUCACUGAAGAACAAAGGAACAAUUUAAAUAUGGGCCUCCUCCACUAGACAAUAAGCUCUUCAAGGUAAGAAACAUGGCCUAUCCAUCUGCAGAUCUGCUUUUAUGGUCAGAACAGCUGUCAACACAUUGUGGAAGAUGCUCAAAUUCAGGAUGAACUAAAUAAAAGCAUAAUCCUGCCUCAAUGAUCAUAGUCUACAGGAAGUUACAGACUCAGAAAAUGUAAGUCUAGCCUAGAAAACAUGCAGGAAGUCUGAAAAAGGAAAUUGGAUUUGGAGCACCAGAAUUUGUAAGCUGUUGAAAGUGGCUGAAAUGCCUAGGAAGGCCCACCUCAGAGCAACUUUCCAGACUUUCUACAUAAAGGCUACAGGAGGGCCUCCCCUUAAG